GACGUAGGGUGCAAGCGUUGUCCGGAUUUAUUGGGCGUAAAGAGCUCGUAGGCGGCUUGUUGCGUCGACUGUGAAAACCCGCGGCUUAACCGCGGGCUUGCAGUUGAUACGGGCAGGCUAGAGUUCGGUAGGGGAGACUGGAAUUCCUGGUGUAGCGGUGAAAUGCGCAGAUAUCAGGAAGAACACCAACGGCGAAGGCAGCUCGCUGGGACGGAACUGACGCUGAGGCGCGAAAGCGUGGGGAGCGAACAGG
Molecule: ribosomal RNA, 253 nt
Filed under: uncultured bacterium
Lineage: Bacteria
Description: partial 16S ribosomal RNA
Rfam family: Bacterial small subunit ribosomal RNA
Source: RNAcentral